RNAcentral lists this ribosomal RNA (774 nucleotides) under uncultured Neocallimastigales. Its description in RNAcentral is "partial large subunit ribosomal RNA". It matches the Rfam family "Eukaryotic large subunit ribosomal RNA", at positions 18 to 616 of the family's 3401-position model. Lineage: Eukaryota; Fungi; Neocallimastigomycota; Neocallimastigomycetes; Neocallimastigales. The record is from RNAcentral.
UCAGACGAUGCGUCAUGCAUAUCAAUAAGCGGAGGAAAAGAAACUAACAAGGAUUCCCCUAGUAACGGCGAGUGAAGCGGGAAGAGCUCAAAUUUGAAAUCUUAAAGGGUUUCCCUUUACGAAUUGUAGUUUAAAGAAGUGUUUUCUGUUGAGGUUUUGGUAAAAGUUCUUUGGAAUAGGACAUCAUAGAGGGUGAGAAUCCCGUAUUUGACCUUUACUUUCAACUUUGUGAUACACUUUCAAAGAGUCGGAUUGUUUGGGAAUGCAGUCCAAAAUGGGUGGUAAAUUUCAUCUAAAGCUAAAUAUUGGCGAGAGACCGAUAGCGAACAAGUACCGUGAGGGAAGGAUGAAAAGAACUUUGAAAAGAGAGUUAAACAGUACGUGAAAUUGUCAAAAGGGAAGCGUUUGACACCAGUGUUGUUUUUCUGAAAAUCAAUUAAAGAACUGUUUAUGCUAAGCUGUUUAGACUUUAUCAGCUAUCUGUUUAGUUUUGAGCUUUUCUUUAAUGCACUUUUCAGUUAACAAGUCAACAUCAAUUUCUUUUGCUGUAAAAAAGCUUGAGGAAGGUGGCUUGAGAUUCGUCUUAAGUGUUUAUAGCCUCUUGCCUAUGCAGUCGGAGAGAUUGAGGUCUGCAGCGUAGAUCCUUCGGGGCUAAAUGCAUUUGUGCUAAGUUAUAGCAUUUUAUAGACAACUUGUUGACUAUGAUUUGUCUUGUAGCUUACUCGCUUAUGUUAUUUUACCUACGCUUAGGAUGUUGAGCGCAUGUCUCUCUCU